AUUUCUUUGUAUUGACAAUUUCCUGAGAGGACAUCAGCAUGGAUCUUCACAUAUAUGAAGGAAAGUGGAAAACCUACCAGCUUCCUGAAUAUUUACUGAGAUCUGUAUGACAUUUACCUCAUGGGAAGAGUAAAAGAAAACUGGCUGGACCUAGAAGAGACUCUGGUGUUACCCUUCCAAGCUGGGCCUUGGUUUUCCUAUCUGUAAAAUGGAAAUGAUAAUCCUUAGCCUUUGGAAUUGUUGCAUGAGAGUUUCCUAUUAAGGAGCCUGGGGCAAAGCAGAUGCUCACCAGGCAGGCCUCCCUUCCCUAAGUCCCCCAGACCUUAAACUUUAAGAGUUUGUGUGACCUGCUUUAGCAUGAACCCUCAAAGACAUUAGGGUGUGGGGAUGAGAGCAAGUGAGGGGACCACAAUGACAUGGACUCCCCUCCCCUCAUGGUCGCCUCCCUCUUUCUCCUGUCCUGUCUUCACUCUCUGCUGCUCUGAGAUCUGCCAGCUAGUUCUGCCUAGAACAGUUUUCUCUCUGAACUGACUUCCUCCAAUAAGAAGGCAGGUGAGUCCUUACUCCAGUUCACAACUUCUCUUGAGUGAUUUAAUGGCUUUUAAGCAAAAGCAACUAUCUGAGAGGCCUCAGGUACAAGGGAAAUCCAGUGGAGCUUUUAAACCAGGAUCUGGGUGCUUGGAAGGUACAGGGAAUGAGUAGGCUGGGUGGUCCUGUGUUGGGCACUUCUGCUUCCCUUCUCACCAGAUCUGAAGCAAGGGUGCAGGCCUUGCCAGUCACCCACACCUGAUCCCUGUGUGAACUCCCUGGGUUCAUUUAUGCCAAGCCAAAGCUACAAUCUGCUACCCCAACUCCCACAAGCAAUCCCAGCACUUCUGAGAAAGAUACAAAUCUCUUCCAAGGUGACCAGAAAAAAAAUUUAAAUUUAACUGCAAAAGAAUGUUACUUUAAAAUAGAAGAGUCUUUGAUGUGACUUACAUCUGUCAAAUCUUUGCAAAAUGAGGUAAAAGACAACACUUUGGUGCAGGAUGGUACAUACAGCAAGCCUCUUUAGGGAGGUCUUGGAGUGGUCUUUGCUCACCAAUAGAACCCAACUAUAUUCUACAACGUUAAGUAAUAUUUUAAAUAAGAAUUGUGGGCAUUCCUCAAAAGCGUUUAGGCAACUUCUUGACUUUAGGAAUUCAGUUCUUUUGCAAUGGGAAUGAAAAAUAAAUGUAUGUCGGUUACUGCCCCCAUCACCUGCAUACCACGUCAGCCUACACCAGCUCUGCUCACUUGUGGCCAAAUUGGAGUGAAGGGUGGUUGACCACAGGAGGUGAGAGAGGCCAGGAGCCCAGGGAGCCCAGGCUUGGUAGUGGUAUGUAGAGUAUGACUGUGUCUGGACACCAGCUACUCUGCUGAGUCACCGCUCAGACACAGCAACACAGGGCACAGCCGGUAUAGCAGCACAGCAGGUAGGGCCCCAAGAGCCAUAGAGCUGCAGGUCUGUGCCCUUGCCUCGGAUCUGGUGAGAAGAUCUGCCUGCAGAGGGCAGGCAGAGGGAAGGGGAUGUCUUUGCCAGCUGAAGCUCUCCAUUAGAGCUAGAACACAUCCCCAUCUCCAGAUAUGAAGCAGGGCUAUCUCCCACCUCCUAUACUCAUCUCAGGCAGCACAAGUCAUUAUGGGGAGCUCCCUUCUUCCUCCUCCAUUUCAACAUUUCUUUCACUUUCCAUUUAACCAAUAUUCUCUUGGAUGAAACUGUCUAGGAAGGGCCACUCCGCUGUUAACCCACUUGGUGUGUGGCCUCAAGCUCUGACCUCCCCAAUCUCUUUUCCCCCCCACAGCUGGACGAAAUCCAGGUUGGAAAAAAGGGAGAUUGAGAAGGGCUGCAUCCCAAAGUCAUCACAACAGCACAGGCUGCCCCAGCCUCCCAGUGUCAUCAUUCCCAAACACAUUUCUGUUUGUAUCAGAUCUUUUCAUACCCAAGAAUGGCAGAGAAAGACAGGAGUCCGCCUCGAAUGUCAGAGGCAGCUUCCGCUCUUCAUUGCCUAUGGUUUGGGAGUGUUUUCUUCUGAAUUUUUCUCCUUUAUUAUACAGUGUAGCCUUUGAGUAUUUUAGGUUUCUGGAUUUCAUGUUUUACCUUGUCCAUAUAAGCUUAUCCUUUUUUCAUCAUUAAUUCUGUCCCCCUGCCCAGCCAUCUUUUAUCUUUAUCCUAACUUUUUCACUUUAUCGGCUAAUGUCUUUAAGCAAUUAAUUUCCGGGGUUUUUUUUUUUUUUUACUAUUUUAUUAUCAUUUUUAUUUUUACAGAUCCUAAUUCUAACAUUUCUCCUUAACUUUAAAAAUUCUGUGAUGGUUAAUUGUGUCAACAUGACUGGAACGUGGAUGCUCAGUGAGUGGGUCACAUCCAAUCAGUUGAAGGCCUGAAUAGAAGAAAAGGGCUGACCUUCCCCAGAAGAAGGGAGAAUUCUUCCUGCCUGAAUGCCUUUGGACUGGGAUGUCAGCCUUUUUCCUACCUUUGGACUCAAACUGAAACAUUGGCUCUCCCUGGGUCUUCAGCCUGCCUUCAUUCAGACAGGACUACACCAUUAGCACUCAUAAUUCUCAGGCCUUCAGACGUGGACUGAAACUAAUCCAUCAGCUCUCUUGGGUCUCCAGCUUGCCAGUUCUCCCUGCAGAUCCUGGGACUCACCUGCCUCCAUAAUAGUGAGAAGAGCAUGUGCAAACAUUCCGGGGCAGGAGGGAGCAUGGAGAGUUCCAAGAAAACAGAAGGCAGCCUGGGGCCGAGUGGUGGGAGCAUGCACUGCAGGCAACCCAGGCAAACGCAGAUAAAUAAAAAAUAAAAGAAAAAGCCAUCAAGAACUUGCUGUGAAAGAA
Callithrix jacchus (white-tufted-ear marmoset) is the source of this 2854-nucleotide long non-coding RNA. RefSeq lists it as uncharacterized. The record is from RefSeq and is a predicted model, not a curated record. NCBI's taxonomy places the organism in Eukaryota, Metazoa, Chordata, Mammalia, Primates, Cebidae.